Gastrolobium bilobum is the source of this 675-nucleotide long non-coding RNA. RefSeq lists it as uncharacterized. NCBI's taxonomy places the organism in Eukaryota, Viridiplantae, Streptophyta, Magnoliopsida, Fabales, Fabaceae. The record is from RefSeq and is a predicted model, not a curated record. The transcript has 4 exons.
CCUAUCUUUUCGAUUCUGAAAGUUGAGUAUCCAUUGAGCAUGGUUGAAGCAAUUAGCAAGAAAAAAUUAUUAUCUCUUUGGGAAACAUAACCCAAACAAGGUAGAAGAAGCUUUGCAAUUCACCAUUUUUCGACUAAAUUUCCCCUGCAAGGAAGCUCGAAGCUGAGAUUGAAGUUACAAGGAAGGAGAUAGAAAAACCAACAGAAGUUGAAGUUGACCUCAAUUGAAGGCUUCAUCAAAAGACUGAUCAUUUGAUAUAGAAACAAUCCAAGGUGCAGAGGCAUGGAUUUAUAAGUCCACAAAGAUUUCUGCCAGAUCGUCAGGAAUCUCUACAGAUGAGUAUGAUUGCAUGAGAGACACGAUCACCAACUUAUCUAGCCAAAACGAGCAGCUGAAGCAAAAAUAUGAGAACACACAACAACAAAUGACUAUUAUGAAAGAUCAAACAGAUCAAAAAUAACAAUAUGAAAGAGCAGCUGGCGAUGUUGACGGCUCAUUUAGGAGGGGAUGUGCGCACUUUCACCACUAUGACUCCGGCACUAGAUGCACAACGUGAUGAUUAUGAUGAUAUUGAUGCUCAGUUACAUGGCGAUAAUUGAUAGGAUACAUAUUUUCUUUUCUUAUUUUCAUUUGUGAAUAUUAUUUGUUGUCUCAUACAUUUGUUAUUUUUCAUGA